UUGAGGCUGAAAAGCGUAGUCGAUGGGAAACAGGUUAAUAUUCCUGUACUUCUGGUUACUGCGAUGGAGGGACGGAGAAGGCUAGGCCAGCUUGGCGUUGGUUGUCCAAGUUUAAGGUGGUAGGCUGAAAUCUUAGGUAAAUCCGGGGUUUCAAGGCCGAGAGCUGAUGACGAGUCGUCUUUUAGAUGACGAAGUGGUUGAUGCCAUGCUUCCAAGAAAAGCUUCUAAGCUUCAGGUAACCAGGAACCGUACCCCAAACCGACACAGGUGGUCGGGUAGAGAAUACCAAGGCGCUUGAGAGAACUCGGGUGAAGGAACUAGGCAAAAUGGCACCGUAACUUCGGGAGAAGGUGCGCCGGCUAGGGUGAACGAUUUACUCCGUAAGCUCUGGCUGGUCGGAGAUACCAGGCCGCUGCGACUGUUUAUUAAAAACACAGCACUCCGCAAACACGAAAGUGGACGUAUAGGGUGUGACGCCUCCCCGGUGCCGGAAGGUUAAUUGAUGGGGUUAGCGCAAGCGAAGCUCUUGAUCGAAGCCCCGGUAAACGGCGGCCGUAACUAUAACGGUCCUAAGGUAGCGAAAUUCCUUGUCGGGUAAGUUCCGACCUGCACGAAUGGCGUAACGAUGGCGGCGCUGUCUCCACCCGAGACUCAGUGAAAUUGAAAUCGCUGUGAAGAUGCAGUGUAUCCGCGGCUAGACGGAAAGACCCCGUGAACCUUUACUGUAGCUUUGCACUGGACUUUGAGCCUGCUUGUGUAGGAUAGGUGGGAGGCUUUGAAGCGUGGACGCCAGUUCGCGUGGAGCCAUCCUUGAAAUACCACCCUGGCAUGCUUGAGGUUCUAACUCUGGUCCGUAAUCCGGAUCGAGGACAGUGUAUGGUGGGCAGUUUGACUGGGGCGGUCUCCUCCUAAAGAGUAACGGAGGAGUACGAAGGUGCGCUCAGACCGGUCGGAAAUCGGUCGCAGAGUAUAAAGGCAAAAGCGCGCUUGACUGCGGGACAGACACGUCGAGCAGGUACGAAAGUAGGUCUUAGUGAUCCGGUGGUUCUGUAUGGAAGGGCCAUCGCUCAACGGAUAAAGGUACUCCGGGGAUAACAGGCUGAUACCGCCCAAGAGUUCAUAUCGACGGCGGUGUUUGGCACCUCGAUGUCGGCUCAUCACAUCCUGGGGCUGAAGCCGGUCCCAAGGGUAUGGCUGUUCGCCAUUUAAAGUGGUACGCGAGCUGGGUUUAGAACGUCGUGAGACAGUUCGGUCCCUAUCUGCCGUGGACGUUUGUGAUUUGAGAGGGGCUGCUCCUAGUACGAGAGGACCGGAGUGGACGAACCUCUGUGUUCCGGUUGUCACGCCAGUGGCAUUGCCGGGUAGCUAUGUUCGGAAAAGAUAACCGCUGAAAGCAUCUAAGCGGGAAACUUGCCUCAAGAUGAGAUCUCACUGGGAACUUGAUUCCCCUGAAGGGCCGUCGAAGACUACGACGUUGAUAGGCUGGGUGUGUAAGCGUUGUGAGGCGUUGAGCUAACCAGUACUAAUUGCCCGUGAGGCUUGACC
Molecule: ribosomal RNA, 1545 nt
Filed under: metagenome
Description: bacterial LSU rRNA
Rfam family: Bacterial large subunit ribosomal RNA
Source: RNAcentral